This 376-nucleotide long non-coding RNA is filed under the name Podarcis lilfordi (Lilford's wall lizard). Lineage: Eukaryota; Metazoa; Chordata; Lepidosauria; Squamata; Lacertidae. The record is from RNAcentral.
CCUGGGUUUUGUCAGUCCUUUCUAUCCCAUCAAUCUAGCGCAUUAACCUGGUAAUCUUAUGUCCGAGGCCCUUAAGUCCCUUCCAUGUCCCAUCCGCAGUUCUUCUUCAUAUUUAUACCUGUACUUUACUUUGUCUCCUGCUCCUUUCACUCGUGGGAACUCCAACUUAACAGUGUUUUUGACCCUUCUCAACAAAUCAGCCCCUUUUCCAUAGUCCACACUAAACUCCAUGUGGUAUUUAAAAACAUGUUUCAAAAUCCCUCCAGAAUUAAGAGCCCCCACAACCCCAAACAUCUCACGGCCCAUUGCCAGACUUGAAAAGUCCAAACAUCCCUGCAUAGGGGGGUCUAUCCAACCCCCCAUUUCCAAACCAAAC